GGGCGUAAAGAGCUCGUAGGCGGUUUGUCACGUCUGCUGUGAAAUUUCGAGGCUCAACCUCGAACUUGCAGUGGGUACGGGCAGGCUAGAGUGCGGUAGGGGAGAUGGGAAUUCCUGGUGUAGCGGUGGAAUGCGCAGAUAUCAGGAGGAACACCAAUGGCGAAGGCACAUCUCUGGGCCGCAACUGACGCUGAGGAGCGAAAGCGUGGGGAGCGAACAGGAUUAGAUACCCUGGUAGUCCACGCCGUAAACGGUGGGUGCUAGCUGUGGGCCACAUUCCACGUGGUCCGUGACGAAGUUAACACAUUAAGCACCCCGCCUGGGGAGUACGGUCGCAAGACUAAAACUCAAAGGAAUUGACGGGGGCCCGCACAAGCGGCGGAGCAUGCGGAUUAAUUCGAUGCAACGCGAAGAACCUUACCAAGGCUUGACAUAUAGAGGAAACGUGCAGAAAUGUACUCCCCGCAAGGUCUCUAUACAGGUGGUGCAUGGUUGUCGUCAGCUCGUGUCGUGAGAUGUUGGGUUAAGUCCCGCAACGAGCGCAACCCUCGUCCUAUGUUGCCAGCACGUAAUGGUGGGAACUCAUGGGAUACUGCCGGGGUCAACUCGGAGGAAGGU
RNAcentral lists this ribosomal RNA (618 nucleotides) under uncultured Actinomycetes bacterium. Its description in RNAcentral is "bacterial SSU rRNA". It matches the Rfam family "Bacterial small subunit ribosomal RNA", at positions 556 to 1174 of the family's 1533-position model. Lineage: Bacteria; Bacillati; Actinomycetota; Actinomycetes. The record is from RNAcentral.